UCGUCAAACUCGGGGGGGAGUAUCAUAAACUCUUCCCGACACUUCUGUCGCUUUGGCCAGAAGAUGUCAAACCAUGAGCACGAUAGAUCUGUCGCUUCGGCCAGAUCAAUCGAGGAUUUAUUGAGCACGGGAAGGAGCGGCACGAGGAGCAGCCCCUCACGGCAAGGUCAGUAAGUCAAUAGUAAAUAUAUCCUUUAGGCUGAUACAGUUGUUUUGCAGGUUAUUUUUGUUUUGCAGGAACGAUCCUGUCGCUUUGGCCAGGAUCCAC
RNAcentral lists this long non-coding RNA (268 nucleotides) under Zostera marina. RNAcentral describes it as "long non-coding RNA (ZMAR_LNC003315)". Lineage: Eukaryota; Viridiplantae; Streptophyta; Magnoliopsida; Alismatales; Zosteraceae. The record is from RNAcentral.